UUCGGUGUACAUCAUACGAGCACAGUUUGGGUCGGAUCAAUGAAAGGACGUUUGUAAAGUCCUCGGUGCAGCUUCGUACGCCGUCUCAACGUGCUUCUUCCCCUCCUGCAGCUCCACCUCCUGCUACUGCUACUUCUUCCCGUCCUUCUAUGGACAUUUCUGAGGAAGAUAUUUCCGUUUCAUCGGUGUAUCGCGAGCAGCAACGUCUAUCUGAGGAGCUUCAGAAGUUGUCUGCAGAACAAGCUGCGAUUCGUAAGGAUGUGGGCAAGAUGAAGCGCUUGUUGAAUAUGAUUUUUGACAAAUUAGGAUGUUGUC
RNAcentral lists this long non-coding RNA (315 nucleotides) under Ananas comosus (pineapple). Its description in RNAcentral is "long non-coding RNA (ACOM_LNC044201)". Lineage: Eukaryota; Viridiplantae; Streptophyta; Magnoliopsida; Poales; Bromeliaceae. The record is from RNAcentral.